RNAcentral lists this ribosomal RNA (516 nucleotides) under uncultured bacterium. RNAcentral's name for it is "bacterial SSU rRNA". It matches the Rfam family "Bacterial small subunit ribosomal RNA", at positions 11 to 518 of the family's 1533-position model. The record is from RNAcentral.
AUUCGAUUCUGGCUCAGGAUGAACGCUAGCGACAGGCCUAACACAUGCAAGUCGAGGGGCAGCGCGGGGAAAGCUUGCUUUCCUGGCGGCGACCGGCGCACGGGUGCGUAACAGGUGUGCAAUCUGUCCAUAGUCGGGGGAUAGCCCAGCGAAAGCUGAAUUAACACUCCAUGUGAAUCGAAGCCGCAUGACUUUGAUUUGAAACGCAAGGACUAUGGGUGAGCACGCUUCUGAUUAGGUAGUUGGUGGGGUAACGGCCCACCAAGCCGACGAUCAGUAGGGGUUCUGAGAGGAAGGUCCCCCACAUUGGAACUGAGACACGGUCCAAACUCCUACGGGAGGCAGCAGUGAGGAAUAUUGGUCAAUGGGCGAGAGCCUGAACCAGCCAAGUCGCGUGAAAAGGAUGAAGGUUCUAUGGAUUGUAAACUUCUUUUGUCCGAGGGUAAAAAAGGCCACGUGUGGCUUCUUGCAAGUAUCGGACGAAUAAGCAUCGGCUAACUCCGUGCCAGCAGCGGC